GGCUCAGGAUGAACGCUAGCUACAGGCUUAACACAUGCAAGUCGCGGGGCAGCAUUCACUUAGCUUGCUAAGUGAGAUGGCGACCGGCGCACGGGUGAGUAACGCGUAUCCAACCUACCCUUGUCCAUCGGAUAACCCGUCGAAAGGCGGCCUAACACGAUAUGCGGUUCUCAGCAGGCAUCUAACGAGAACGAAAUGUGAAGGAGAAGGAUGGGGAUGCGUCUGAUUAGCUUGUUGGCGGGGUAACGGCCCACCAAGGCGACGAUCAGUAGGGGUUCUGAGAGGAAGGUCCCCCACAUUGGAACUGAGACACGGUCCAAACUCCUACGGGAGGCAGCAGUGAGGAAUAUUGGUCAAUGGACGGGAGUCUGAACCAGCCAAGUAGCGUGCAGGAUGACGGCCCUAUGGGUUGUAAACUGCUUUUAUAGGGGGAUAAAGUGUGCCACGUGUGGCAUAUUGCAGGUACCCUAUGAAUAAGGACCGGCUAAUUCCGUG
This 495-nucleotide ribosomal RNA is filed under the name uncultured bacterium. RNAcentral describes it as "bacterial SSU rRNA". It matches the Rfam family "Bacterial small subunit ribosomal RNA", at positions 21 to 507 of the family's 1533-position model. The record is from RNAcentral.